Molecule: ribosomal RNA, 658 nt
Filed under: uncultured Acidobacterium sp.
Lineage: Bacteria; Pseudomonadati; Acidobacteriota; Terriglobia; Terriglobales; Acidobacteriaceae
Description: bacterial SSU rRNA
Rfam family: Bacterial small subunit ribosomal RNA
Source: RNAcentral
AGGGUUUGGAUCAUGGCUCAGAAUGAACGCUGGCGGCGUGCCUAACACAUGCAAGUCGAACGAGAAAGUGGACUUCGGUCCGCAAGUAAAGUGGCAUACGGGUGAGUAACACGUGGGUAACCUGCCCGGAGGUGGGGGACAACUCUUCGAAAGGGGAGCUAAUACCGCAUAACAUCCCGAGCACUUCGGUGCAUGGGAUCAAAGUUUGCCUCUGUUUCAUGCAAACGCCACCGGAGGGACCCGCGCCCCAUUAGCUUGAUGGUGAGGUAACGGCUCACCAUGGCUACGAUGGGUAGCCGGCCUGAGAGGGUGAUCGGCCACACUGGAACUGAGACACGGUCCAGACUCCUACGGGAGGCAGCAGUGAGGAAUUUUGCGCAAUGGGCGAAAGCCUGACGCAGCGACGCCGCGUGGAGGAAGAAGGCCUUCGGGUCGUAAACUCCUGUCAAGAGGGACGAAUCCCUAUCGAAUGAGUAAGUCGGUAGGUUGACGGUACCUCUGAANGAAGCCCCGGCUUAACUCCGUGCCAGCAGCCGCGGUUAAUACGGAGGGGGCAAGCGUUGUUCGGAAUUAUUGGGCGUAAAGGGCACGUAGGCGGUCAAGCAAGUCGGUGGUGAAAGCCCUCGGCUCAACCGAGGAAUUGCCCCCAAAACUGCUC